AACACAUGCAAGUCGAGGGGCAGCGGGGCCGUAGCAAUACGGCUGCCGGGCGACCGGCGCACGGGUGAGUAACACGUUAUGCAACCCACCCUCAGCAGGGGGAUAACCCGGAGAAAAUCCGGCCUAAUACCGCGUAGUCCAUACAUGAGACAUCUCGUGUAUGGUAAAGGAGUGAUCCGGCUGAGGACGGGCAUGCGUCGCAUUAGGUAGACGGCGGGGUAACGGCCCACCGUGCCGACGAUGCGUAGGGGUUCUGAGAGGAAGGCCCCCCACACUGGUACUGAGACACGGACCAGACUCCUACGGGAGGCAGCAGUGAGGAAUAUUGGUCAAUGGCCGUGAGGCUGAACCAGCCAAGUCGCGUGAGGGAUGACUGUCCUAUGGAUUGUAAACCUCUUUUGCCGGGGAGCAAAACGGUCCUGCGGGGCCCGAUUGAGAGUACCCGGAGAAAAAGCAUCGGCUAACUCCGUGCCAGCAGCCGCGGUAAUACGGAGGAUGCGAGCGUUAUCCGGAAUUUAUUGGGUUUAAAGGGUGCGCAGGCGGCUCGUCAAGCAAGCGGUAAAAUCGCGGGGCUCAACCCCGCCCCNAGCCGUUUGAACUGGGCGGGCUUGAGUACAUUCGAGGUAUGCGGAAUUUCGUGGUGUAGCGGUUGAAAUGCAUAGAUAU
This 666-nucleotide ribosomal RNA is filed under the name uncultured Bacteroidales bacterium. RNAcentral describes it as "bacterial SSU rRNA". It matches the Rfam family "Bacterial small subunit ribosomal RNA", at positions 50 to 697 of the family's 1533-position model. Lineage: Bacteria; Pseudomonadati; Bacteroidota; Bacteroidia; Bacteroidales. The record is from RNAcentral.